AUUGAACGCUGGCGGCAGGCCUAACACAUGCAAGUCGAGCGGAUGAAGGUAGCUUGCUACCUGAUUCAGCGGCGGACGGGUGAGUAAUGCCUAGGAAUCUGCCUGGUAGUGGGGGACAACGUUUCGAACGGAACGCUAAUACCGCAUACGUCCUACGGGAGAAAGUGGGGGAUCUUCGGACCUCACGCUAUCACAUGAGCCUGGGUACGAGUAGCUAGUUGGGGAGGUAAAGGCUCACCAAGGCGACGAUCGUUAACUGGUCUGAGAGGAUGAUGGGUCACACUGGAACUGAGACACGGUCCAGACUCCUACGGGAGGCAGCAGUGGGGAAUAUUGGACAAUGGGCGAAAGCCUGAUCCAGCCAUGCCGCGUGUGUGAAGAAGGUCUUCGGAUUGUAAAGCACUUUAAGUUGGGAGGAAGGGCAGUAAGUUAAUACCUUGCUGUUUUGACGUUACCGACAGAAUAAGCACCGGCUAACUUCGUGCCAGCCGCCGCAGUAA
This 500-nucleotide ribosomal RNA is filed under the name uncultured bacterium. Its description in RNAcentral is "partial 16S ribosomal RNA". It matches the Rfam family "Bacterial small subunit ribosomal RNA", at positions 30 to 523 of the family's 1533-position model. The record is from RNAcentral.